This is a long non-coding RNA of Patella vulgata (common limpet), 2287 nucleotides long. RefSeq lists it as uncharacterized. The transcript is spliced from 6 exons. Lineage: Eukaryota; Metazoa; Mollusca; Gastropoda; Patellidae. The record is from RefSeq and is a predicted model, not a curated record.
GGUCCCUGUUGUAAUGUCUCCAGGUAGUAGAUUAGAUGACAGGCUAGUCAAACCCUCUCCUGUUACUGUACACCUUGCCCCACCUGUACGACCUUACCUCUCCUAGCCCGGAUUAAUAAUACACUAUCUCCACAUAGUAUGUAGGACUCGGUUAUACCUGAUAAUACGACCAACAGGGACGAGAAGAAAGGGAAAUUCUCGAAGAUCCAUAUAUAUACUGCUUGGUGAUUUUAACUGUGUUAUUGUUGUGUAUUAUGAAGUAAGAGACUAUAGACUUGUGUAGUGGGGUAAUUUAUAUAUUAAUAACAACAGACAUCACUGACUGCUGUAAAUCUAUACACGUGAAAAAUGGCGAAUUGUAUGUGGAUUCUAACAGUGUUAUGUACCUGUAUGGUACAAGGUGUAUUAGGACAAGCUGUAGGUGAUGUAAGUGGUCUGAUAGCAGCAGCUGUAAUUGGUUUCUUUAUGUUAAUAAUUGUAAUAACAAUGUUAGCCUUAUUACUUACACUAGAUAGUUGGUAUCCUAAACUACAAAUGUGGAGAGGUAAAGUAAAAAUACCUCGUCAUGUUAUUGCAUUAAGGAAAGCUCGAGCAAAGAAAGCGGCUUCAGAUAGAAGCAUGGUAGUUGCAGCCGGCAAUGGUACUUUAAAUGGUAAAGUACCAAUGCAUGUAUCAGACCAAGAUUCAAGAUCGUGGGUUGAAGGCUGGAAUUCUGGUGAAGUGAAAGAAUACGAAACAAAGGAUGUCACCAUGACGUUAGGUGAGGAGAAAGAUACCGACGAAUACAGAAUCGUGGCAGAAUUAGUUGACAACGAGGCUUUAGAUUUGGGUCCUUACCACACAUUGUCCGAUAAAACAGUCGUUGGGUCCAGUAAUUGGGUACCACCAGAAGAGACAAAAGAAGGGCCUAUAUAUUCGGCCGUUAACAGAGCAAGCCAAAAAUCAAAUCAAAGUAGUCCCGGUCAUCAAUACGAAGAAACGGAAACGUCAUUUUCCGCCUUGACAGCCGACCCAGCCGUUGUUAUUAUGUAAAAUGGAUUUUUUAAACACAUAUUGCUGAUAUCUUAUUCUUCCAUUAAAAAUUAACACGCAUUAAUAUUAUUAUACAUGUCUACAUUAACCUACUGCUUCAUGUUAAACUUAUUGCUAUUUUCUUUUCAAAUUAUUUUCUUGCAAAGUGAAACUACUCUAGUACAUCGGGUUUUACCGAUACAGGGCCUAUUAUUAUUGCAGUUUCCAGGUUAUUCCAUCAACUGUCAAAAUCCGCCCAAUUUCAACUCUAACAGGAUAUCACAUGUAGCUUUGAAUGAAUAAAGUCUAACGGAAUACGGGGUGCGAUAAUGUUAAAAAUCUCCUUACCUUACAAUGAAAGGUAUGGAGUUUUUCACGCCUCCUUAAUCUUAAGGAAGUCGGGCACACUGCAUUUUGGUAGAGAUCUGACUGCUGUAGAUCUGAGUUUUGUUUCUGUUUUAUCAAGACACAUGGCUGAAAAAUCAAAAUGAAUGAUGUAUGACUGAUUGAACUUUCUGUUGUAUAUUUUAUUGUGUAUUAUUUGCUUUUUAUAUAUAUCAUAUUCAUCUAUAUUACUUACAUCAUUUAUUGUGUGGACAUUAUGUUCGAAUUUUGUCAAAAUUGGCUGUGUUAUUGUACAUAGUAGCAAUAGAUACUUACCUGCUUUUUAUAAUUCAAGUAUUUACACUAAAUGAACAACAACGUAUAAAGAUAGAUUAGCAAUUAUUUUCAGACAUAGAAAUCUACAUGUAUAUACAUAUUUAAAUAUGAUAAAAAAAAAUCAGUUUUAUUUUGAUCAAAAUGUUAGAUUCAUAACCAUUGCAUGUAUUGAAAUAUUCAAAUCAGAUUACUUGAUUCUUCAUAGAAUCUACAUGCUAAAAUAUUGUUUCAAAAUAUGAAUAUUUUCACAUUUAAAAAAAAGGUUUAAUUUAUGACAUAACAUCAAAAGUAAAUUAUAUAAAUUGCCAUUUAAUAUUCUCUUGAUUAUGUAGCUUUUUAAACAGAUCAUUGCAGACAGAACAAGUUUUAAGUAUUACAUUUUGCUGGGAUUUGACUCCACAAAACGAAUUGUGAUAUUCGAUAUUAUUUUAUAUCUCUUUGGGUCAAUAAUUUAUUUUAAUAAAACAAAAUGUUGCCUACACAUAUAUAAUACAUUCCAUUACUUAUCACAUAAUAAUAUAGCUUGUAUUAGGAGAUUUCAGUUUGUAUAUACAUGUAUAUAUAUAUAUAUAUCUCCCGUUAUUAUUUCACUGUUGAAAUAAAUUUAUAUCUAUUU